CACGAUUUCGGUUAACACCGUUUUCACCCUUUGUUUAUACGUACCACAUGUUUCCUCGGGGGGCUUGCCCCCCGUUAGGACACCCCAUAAACCUUUUUGUAAUAGCAGUUAGCGUCUGAAAACUAAGUUAAUUAUUA
Molecule: unclassified non-coding RNA, 137 nt
Filed under: uncultured Ascomycota
Lineage: Eukaryota; Fungi; Ascomycota
Also listed under: 2 other names
Description: sequence contains ITS1
Source: RNAcentral